Molecule: ribosomal RNA, 357 nt
Filed under: Triticum aestivum (bread wheat)
Lineage: Eukaryota; Viridiplantae; Streptophyta; Magnoliopsida; Poales; Poaceae
Description: partial small subunit ribosomal RNA
Source: RNAcentral
AUGGAUUGGAACCCUCAAGUGUUGUGCUGGAACAUGAGGGGUCUCAACAACCCCGCCAAGAGAAACAUUGUCCGGGAGUUUGUAGUCGAGGCUAAGGUGAACCUUGUUUGUCUUCAAGAGACUAAGAUCGAAGUGUUUGACCUGUAUUUGGUGAUGCAAUGCAUUGGACCAUCGUUUGAUGGUUUCGCUUAUUUACCUGCAUUGGAUACUAGGGGUGGCAUCCUCUUGGGAUGGAACAGUGCGUACUUAGCGAUAAACAACAUCACUCGCGACACUAAUUUUCUCUCCAGUUUGGUUCAUAGCAAGGAUGGCUCGGAAUGGUGGUUGUCGGCGGUGUACGCCCCCCAAGGGGAUUAG